Molecule: transfer RNA, 74 nt
Filed under: Blastopirellula retiformator
Lineage: Bacteria; Pseudomonadati; Planctomycetota; Planctomycetia; Pirellulales; Pirellulaceae
Description: Planctomycetes bacterium Enr8 tRNA-Ala
Rfam family: tRNA
About the family: Transfer RNA (tRNA) molecules are approximately 80 nucleotides in length. Their secondary structure includes four short double-helical elements and three loops (D, anti-codon, and T loops).
Source: RNAcentral
GGGGGAUUAGCUCAGCUGGGAGAGCGCUUGCAUGGCAUGCAAGAGGUCGCAGGUUCGAUCCCUGUAUCCUCCAC